CAGUCGCCGCGGUAAUACGGAGGGUGCAAGCGUUAUCCGGAUUUAUUGGGUUUAAAGGGUCCGUAGGCGGACUUAUAAGUCAGUGGUGAAAGCCUGUCGCUUAACGAUAGAACUGCCAUUGAUACUGUAAGUCUUGAGUAUAUUUGAGGUAGCUGGAAUAAGUAGUGUAGCGGUGAAAUGCAUAGAUAUUACUUAGAACACCAAUUGCGAAGGCAGGUUACCAAGAUAUAACUGACGCUGAGGGACGAAAGCGUGGGUAGCGAACAGGAUUAGAGACCCCGGUAGUCCCUGUCUCUUAUAC
This 301-nucleotide ribosomal RNA is filed under the name uncultured bacterium. RNAcentral's name for it is "partial 16S ribosomal RNA". It matches the Rfam family "Bacterial small subunit ribosomal RNA", at positions 509 to 807 of the family's 1533-position model. The record is from RNAcentral.